UCAAAGACUGUGAAGGGAAGAGUAGGCAAGAGGGAUAGGCUUAAAGAGAGCCGGGACGGGUGAAAGCCGGUGCUAAAGACCUUGCUGAAGAUGGCCCCUGAGUCUGACUGCCGAUAGGUAGGCAGUCACGGGAAAGGACCGUUAAAAUCCUUCAGGUAUCGGAAGAUUUAUGAAACUUAUGGCAUCUAUAGAGUAUAGAGUAAAUGUUCCCGCACCUGGCAAAGGCCUUUAUUAGGCGAAUUUGGGUGGUACCGCGAGAGUCCCUCGCCCCUUUU
This 275-nucleotide non-coding RNA is filed under the name Tepidanaerobacter acetatoxydans. RNAcentral's name for it is "T-box sequence". It matches the Rfam family "T-box leader". From Rfam's summary of the family: Uncharged tRNA acts as the effector for transcription antitermination of genes in the T-box leader family. RNAcentral also lists the same sequence under 1 other name. Lineage: Bacteria; Bacillati; Bacillota; Clostridia; Thermosediminibacterales; Tepidanaerobacteraceae. The record is from RNAcentral.